GGGCCCGCACAAGCGGUGGAGUAUGUGGUUUAAUUCGAUGCAACGCGAAGAACCUUACCAGGGUUUGACAUCCUGCGAAUCUCUUGGAAACAGGAGAGUGCCUUCGGGAACGCAGUGACAGGUGGUGCAUGGCUGUCGUCAGCUCGUGUCGUGAGAUGUUGGGUUAAGUCCUAUAACGAGCGCAACCCCUGUGGUUAGUUGCCAGCGAGUCAAGUCGGGAACUCUAGCCAGACUGCCGGUGCAAACCGUGAGGAAGGUGGGGAUGACGUCAAAUCAUCACGGCCCUUACGUCCUGGGCCACACACGUGCUACAAUGGUAGGUACAGAGAGCAGCCACGUCGCAAGGCGGAGCGAAUCUAUAAAACCUAUCACAGUUCGGAUCGGGGUCUGCAACUCGACCCCGUGAAGCUGGAAUCGCUAGUAAUCG
RNAcentral lists this ribosomal RNA (427 nucleotides) under uncultured bacterium. Its description in RNAcentral is "bacterial SSU rRNA". It matches the Rfam family "Bacterial small subunit ribosomal RNA", at positions 917 to 1344 of the family's 1533-position model. The record is from RNAcentral.